RNAcentral lists this ribosomal RNA (497 nucleotides) under uncultured bacterium. RNAcentral's name for it is "partial 16S ribosomal RNA". It matches the Rfam family "Bacterial small subunit ribosomal RNA", at positions 28 to 507 of the family's 1533-position model. The record is from RNAcentral.
GAUGAACGCUGGCGGCGUGCCUAAUACAUGCAAGUCGAGCGAACGGACGAGAAGCUUGCUUCUCUGAUGUUAGCGGCGGACGGGUGAGUAACACGUGGAUAACCUACCUAUAAGACUGGGAUAACUUCGGGAAACCGGAGCUAAUACCGGAUAAUAUUUUGAACCGCAUGGUUCAAAAGUGAAAGACGGUCUUGCUGUCACUUAUAGAUGGAUCCGCGCUGCAUUAGCUAGUUGGUAAGGUAACGGCUUACCAAGGCAACGAUGCAUAGCCGACCUGAGAGGGUGAUCGGCCACACUGGAACGGAGACAAGGUCCAGACUCCUACGGGAGGCAGCAGUAGGGAAUCUUACGCAAUGGGCGAAAGCCUGACGGAGCAACGCCGCGUGAGUGAUGAAGGUCUUCGGAUCGUAAAACUCUGUUAUUAGGGAAGAACAUAUGUGUAAGUAACUGUGCACAUCUUGACGGUACCUAAUCAGAAAGCCACGGCUAACUACGUG